Molecule: non-coding RNA, 1059 nt
Organism: Drosophila takahashii
Lineage: Eukaryota; Metazoa; Arthropoda; Insecta; Diptera; Drosophilidae
Source: RefSeq, a predicted model, not a curated record
CCUCCGGCACCAUCCCCUUUUUGUGCUCCGUUUUUGGGCUCCAAGUUCUGGCAGUCCUUUAAGCACAGUGCUGUACAAAAUAAUAGUAUAUCUAUAUGUGAAGGUGGCCAAUUCACUUGUUAACUUUUACACCUGUUAAUCAAGUAAUCAAUUUUCUUCAGAUUAUUUUCUGAAAUCGCUCACAAUAAAAUAAUAAGAAAUAUUUCGAUUAUUUGGAACACGAAUUUUGCAUGUUAUAUUAUUGUAUUAAACUAGUAACCGCUGCUGUAUAUUUUUUUGUUUUGCGCUGGUCGCAAGAACACAAAUACAGUUGUGUGUGUGGGUGUGAAGCAAGGGUAAGAAAGGCAAAAGGAGUUCGACAAGAGCUAAAUUGAAAUUGGAAGGGGAGCAUUAAGAAACGGGAAUAAAAUAAGGUUGUUUUGUGCGACGACACAACCGAAAACCCAUUAACUUUUGAAUAUUGUGCCAAAUUGCGCGCCCCUCGUUCGUUCGUUAACCAACACUGCCCGCCGAAUGCAACCCUGCUCAAACACACACACACAUACACAAGCGCGCAGGAGGCAAAAUUCACACACAAGCAAAUAUUUUUUUGUUAUUAUUGAACAGUGGAGAACAGCGCAAAAAAGAAAAAACGAGCUUACGAACGGGAAAAGCAAAGCGGGUGCGUGGAAAACGGCAGUGCAACAACAAUGGCAAAGGGAAAGCCAUAGGAAAAUUAAUAACGCGGGGGAGCAAAGUCGGCAGAGGAGCAAGAAGAAGCAGAGGAAGAACAGCCAGAGAAGGAGAGCAAGAAGAAGAAGCAGCGCAGCCGCUAAUUGUCGCGUCGUUCGUUGUUGUUGCUGCCUUGCGAAAAACCGAAAAAGAAAUUGCAAAGAAACGAGCAAAUAAAUAAAAUUAAGUUAUUAACAAGUUGAAAAGCAGCGGAAAACUAGAGAAGCGAACGAGAAACAGCGGCGCAAAGGACAAGGAAAGAAGGGAGAACGAACGAAAAGGUCAAAAAAUUUAGUAAUCAAAUUGCACAAAUCGCCAGAGAUGAGAGCAAAUCAAUAAUAAUAACAA